GAUUAUCUAAAAUUUUUAGUGAAUAACCGAUGUUGGAAUUAAAUAUACGUUGGUAUGAGUCCUCACAAAAAUCUUAUAUAAAACCGAUCUUCUCGAAAGAGAAUGUGGUGACCAAUCCAAUCACAUGACUCUUAGAAAAAAUGAUAUUAAGAAGUUUCCCUUCCAUAAUUACAAAAUACAUUGAGGAUAUCGUACCAUUAGCAAACGGGAGAAUGAGUUUGAUAUAUAGUAGUGUUACAUAUUAGCAAUGGGAGAAUUAGUUUCAUAGUAGUGUUGCAUUAUUCUCUCACUUUCAUGACUACUCGAUUGUCGAGAAAGCUUAAGUGUUGACCAUCUCAUGCAAUUAUCUUUGAUCGUAAAAUUCCCACCACCAAAUUCCUCUUGGUAACCAUAUGAAAAAGGCCAGUGCAUCCAUUGUGUUCUGAUGGAUCUGUUGAAACUAUGGUAACGAGGCAUUACACUUCAUGGUGAAACUAAAAUUAUGCCGCUACAAUAAUCUCCUCCCAUAUGUUCGACCGAUCAACCUCCGAUCUAGACAACUCAUGGACGGCAGUGAUUAGUUCUUCCGCUAAUUUUGUUAAACAAAAUUUAUUAAUUCUUAAAGUAAAAGCAUCUAAUUUGGUGCCCAUCACAUGGAAAACUGUUCAGAAGAAGGGAAGACCCACCUGAUCACUAC
Molecule: long non-coding RNA, 676 nt
Filed under: Elaeis guineensis (African oil palm)
Lineage: Eukaryota; Viridiplantae; Streptophyta; Magnoliopsida; Arecales; Arecaceae
Description: long non-coding RNA (EGUI_LNC000313)
Source: RNAcentral